CCUACGGGUGGCAGCAGUGGGGAAUAUUGCACAAUGGGGGAAACCCUGAUGCAGCGACGCCGCGUGGGUGAAGAAGCGUCUCGGCACGUAAAGCUCUAUCAGCAGGGAAGAAAAUGACGGUACCUGAUGAAGAAGCCCCGGCUAACUCGGUGCCAGCAGCCGCGGUAAUACGUAGGUCUCAAGCGUUAUUCGGAUUCACUGGGCGUAAAGGGAGCGUAGGCUGCAUCGCAAGUCGGGUGUGAAAGGCCGGGGCUCAACCCGGGAACGGCAUAUGAUACUGUGAGGCUAGAGUGAAGGAGGGGGAAGUGGAAUUCUCGGUGUAGCAGUGAAAUGCGUAGAUAUCGGGAGGAACACUAGUGGCGAAGGCGGGUUCCUGGACAUUAACUGACGCUGAGGCACGAAGGCGAGGGGAGCGAAAGGGAUUAGAUACCCUUGUAGUC
Molecule: ribosomal RNA, 440 nt
Filed under: uncultured bacterium
Lineage: Bacteria
Description: partial 16S ribosomal RNA
Rfam family: Bacterial small subunit ribosomal RNA
Source: RNAcentral